CAAAGGCGUAUCCAUGGCAACCUCAAGAGGAAGGACAGGGAAAUGAUUGCUCCAGUGGCUGCAACAGAGAAAGCGAGGUUCCUCAUCUGUGUAAUUUAGCUCUGGUUCUGCCUAAAGACAAAAGGAAUGCGCAAGAUCACUGCUCAAGGGUCACCCUGCCAGGAAACCUGUGGCUCGGAAUGGGUUCAGGGGUGCCUCGGACGCGCCCAGGAAAGAAGGGGCGACCUUUGCAGUCCCGGAGAAAUUUGGAGGCUCAAUCACUGUGAUCCCUGGAGAACACCGCCAGGUCUGGUUUUAAAACUGUGCACUGAGCGCGGCCCAGGAGGCAUCUAUCAGGCAUAAAGCUGGACACCUGGAGUGAAAUAUGCGCGUGCGCGCUGUGCCUGGGAAGCCGAUUAGGACCACAGGAGUGAGGCUCUUCGAGGCCAGCGCCCUCUGCCGUUGGGUAGGAGAGCGCGCGGAAAGGUAGAGGUCUCAUUUGCAGCAGGCAAGUUGGUUCAGAGUCGCUGAGUUUUUGAGGGGUAAAAGCUCAGUAGUAACAAAAUUCGUGAUAAUCUCGAUUACUACGUAUCUCCUCAGUCAGCUUGAGGAAAAAUUAAAUUUUGGUGCUACCCAAUGUUGUCAACCAUAUGGGGAUAUAGGCAUUCUCACGCCCUUAAGAUGCAAACGUAAAAGAAUACAAAUUUACAUAAUGUCAUUUUGGAAUUUUUUUAUUUAAAAAGAGAAAACAUUAAAAAGUACAAACCCUUUCACCCAAUGCACCCAUUUUCAAUAAUGUAUACAAAGAAAAAAAAGAUAUGCUAGAGCAAAUAUUCAAAGAUAUUUGUAUAAGGAUAUUGGGAGAGCCAGGAUUCCACAGACCAUAGAUUCAACUGCAGUUUCCUGGCUAUGUGAGAUCUGGGCUGGGUUGGUUGCUUAACCUCUCCGUG
Long non-coding RNA from Phyllostomus discolor (pale spear-nosed bat), 929 nucleotides. RefSeq lists it as uncharacterized. The transcript has 4 exons. Lineage: Eukaryota; Metazoa; Chordata; Mammalia; Chiroptera; Phyllostomidae. The record is from RefSeq and is a predicted model, not a curated record.